CCUACGGGAGGCAGCAGUGGGGAAUAUUGGGCAAUGGAGGAAACUCUGACCCAGCGACGCCGCGUGCGGGAUGAAGGCCUUCGGGUUGUAAACCGCUUUCAGUAGGGAAGAAGCGAAAGUGACGGUACCUACAAAAGAAGCACCGGCUAACUAUGUGCCAGCAGCCGCGGUAAUACAUAGGGUGCAAGCGUUGUCCGGAAUUAUUGGGCGUAAAGAGCUCGUAGGUCGUUUGUUACGUCGGAUGUGAAAACCUGAGGCUCAACCUCAGGCCUGCAUUCGAUACGGGCAAACUAGAGUUUGGUAGGGGAGACUGGAAUUCCUGGUGUAGCGGUGGAAUGCGCAGAUAUCAGGAGGAACACCAAUGGCGAAGGCAGGUCUCUGGGCCAAUACUGACACUGAGGAGCGAAAGUCUGGGGAGCGAACAGGAUUAGAUACCCUGGUAGUCCAGACCGUAAACGGUGGGCACUAGUUGUGGGAACCUUCCACGGUUUCUGCGACGCAGCUAACGCAUUAAGUGCCCGCCUGGGGAGUACGAUCGCAAGNUUAAAACUCAAAGGAAUUGAACGGCUGAGACGUGCGAGCGCGACGAGGAGAGG
RNAcentral lists this ribosomal RNA (596 nucleotides) under uncultured bacterium. RNAcentral's name for it is "bacterial SSU rRNA". It matches the Rfam family "Bacterial small subunit ribosomal RNA", at positions 338 to 944 of the family's 1533-position model. The record is from RNAcentral.